This 109-nucleotide ribosomal RNA is filed under the name Saimiri boliviensis boliviensis (Bolivian squirrel monkey). The record is from RNAcentral. Lineage: Eukaryota; Metazoa; Chordata; Mammalia; Primates; Cebidae.
GACUACGGCCAUACCACUCUGAAUGCGCCGGAUCUCGUCAGAUCUCGGAAGCAAAGCAGGGUUAGUACUUGGAUGGGAGACUGCCUGGGAAUACCGGGUGCCAUAGGCU